UUUUAAGUGUUCAAUUUUCGAGAGCUUCAUUCGUCUCUCUUGAGCCCACAACUUCAUCGCGAGCUUCUAUCCUCGCGAGUUUCUAUCAAGCUUUUCGUUUCACAUAAUCACUUCCAAAACCCAGGGUUCUUCCUUCUUUCACCAUUUCAUUCGACGAUUAAAGCCACUUUUGAACCGAUCUAGGUCAGGUUACCCUUUCUCUCUUUUUCUAUCACUUCGUAGUUUGUAUCGCUUCUAUAUUUAUUCGCACAGCCACACUCGCUCGCGGAUUCUGGCACGGGUGUUUAUGACGCGAAUCGGAUUUGUAUGAACUCAAUCGAUGGGGGCACAAAAAGCGAAACCCUGCGCCGUGCACGAAAGAACCCGCAGCGGCUUCUCCGGCGAUGCAAUGCAGCGUCGGCGGAGCUGCCAACGGUGACACCUCGCCGGACGCUGAUGCUAGCAAUGUUUCCGAUCACAAACCACAUAACCCUAGCAAGGUCGAAUUGGCUCCGCCUCUAUCCGAGGGUUCUGAGUACUCCACAAUCAAGCUGGAAUGCGAGCGCGCUCUCACCACGCUCCGCCGCAGGAACCACAGCAAGGAAAUGAAGCUGCUGCGGGAGAUUUGCGCCAGAGAGGAGGGUUCGCCUCACUCUGCGUUCGUCCACCGAGUUCACAGUCUCAUGUGUUUCAAAACGGCGACGUUUAUCACCGACCCUAGUUUGAAGUAGCGACAUUUGAAGAAAUGUUAGAAAAGGAUUCUUACAGAAUAUCCCGAGCUUUGAAUGAUGCAUGUAGGGCACAACUAGCUUGCGAAGCGGUGCACAUGGCUACAGGUGGUCGAGUUGCAGAGUUUGAAAGGCUACUUCAUUUUGGUAGUCCUGUGAUUUGUAAAUCAGUUGAUUUUGUCAGUUGUUCAAUCUGCUCACGCAACCAUGCUGGUGGUGUUUUACAAAUUUAUGGAUUCAUUUAUCUUUCAUGCUAACAUGGCAAUAAAAGGCGUUGUCUAGGAAAUCAAUUAUUGUGUGAUAUCUUCAUCUUUGGUAUUCUGAAAUUAUAACUUCCAUAUUCUCUUAACGGAUAGGUUCUUUGGUUUUCUAUUUCAGAGUUACACGGAACUAACUGGGACUUCGUGGACUUAUUUGUACUUCAUUAGCUUCUACUUAGUUACUGUUUUGCUGCUUUUGAACUUGGGUGAGUUUUUAAAGGAGUUAUAAUUGUGGCAAGAAGGGGAGGAAGAUAGUGUACAAAGAAGACUUGAGCAAGAAAGGAAAGCUAAGGCGAAGAUGAAGGUGCAGUGGAAAGCUGAACAUGAAAUACAAAUACAUAGAAAUUUCCACAUGAAAGCAUCUCAUCAGCUCUCAGGGUGUGUUCUUUUGGAUGGAUUUGAGGGAGAUGAUUUGGGAGAGAUGAUUUGAAUGGAUUUGAGUGGAUUUGAGGGUAAUUUUAUUGUUGUUUUUUUGAGUGGAUUUG
Molecule: long non-coding RNA, 1452 nt
Organism: Vigna radiata var. radiata (mung bean)
Lineage: Eukaryota; Viridiplantae; Streptophyta; Magnoliopsida; Fabales; Fabaceae
Exons: 3
Source: RefSeq, a predicted model, not a curated record